AUUCUUUUAGUAUAGCAGUACAGUUGACUUCCAAUCAUCUAGCUCUAGUCCAACCUAGAAAAGA
This 64-nucleotide transfer RNA is filed under the name Microgale fotsifotsy (pale shrew tenrec). RNAcentral's name for it is "tRNA-Gly". It matches the Rfam family "tRNA". Rfam says of the family: Transfer RNA (tRNA) molecules are approximately 80 nucleotides in length. The record is from RNAcentral. Lineage: Eukaryota; Metazoa; Chordata; Mammalia; Afrosoricida; Tenrecidae.